UUAAGCGACUAAGCGUACACGGUGGAUGCCCUGGCAGUCAGAGGCGAUGAAGGACGUGCUAAUCUGCGAAAAGCGUCGGUAAGGUGAUAUGAACCGUUAUAACCGGCGAUGUCCGAAUGGGGAAACCCAGUGUGAUUCGUCACACUAUCGUUAACUGAAUACAUAGGUUAACGAGGCGAACCGGGGGAACUGAAACAUCUAAGUACCCCGAGGAAAAGAAAUCAACCGAGAUUCCCCCAGUAGCGGCGAGCGAACGGGGAGCAGCCCAGAGUCUGAAUCAGCUUGUGUGUUAGUGGAACGGUCUGGAAAGUCCGACGGUACAGGGUGAUAGUCCCGUACACCAAAAUGCACAGGUUGUGAACUCGAAGAGUAGGGCGGGGCACGUGGUAUCCUGUCUGAAUAUGGGGGGACCAUCCUCCAAGGCUAAAUACUCCUGACUGACCGAUAGUGAACCAGUACCGUGAGGGAAAGGCGAAAAGAACCCCGGCGAGGGGAGUGAAAAAGAACCUGAAACCGUGUACGUACAAGCAGUGGGAGCACCUUCGGGUGUGACUGCGUACCUUUUGUAUAAUGGGUCAGCGACUUAUAUUCUGUAGCAAGGUUAACCGUAUAGGGGAGCCGCAGGGAAACCGAGUCUUAACUGGGCGUUAAGUUGCAGGGUAUAGACCCGAAACCCGGUGAUCUAGCCAUGGGCAGGUUGAAGGUUGGGUAACACUAACUGGAGGACCGAACCGACUAAUGUUGAAAAAUUAGCGGAUGACUUGUGGCUGGGGGUGAAAGGCCAAUCAAACCGGGAGAUAGCUGGUUCUCCCCGAAAGCUAUUUAGGUAGCGCCUCGUGAAUUCAUCUUCGGGGGUAGAGCACUGUUUCGGCUAGGGGGUCAUCCCGACUUACCAACCCGAUGCAAACUACGAAUACCGAAGAAUGUUAUCACGGGAGACACACGGCGGGUGCUAACGUCCGUCGUGAAGAGGGAAACAACCCAGACCGCCAGCUAAGGUCCCAAAGUCAUGGUUAAGUGGGAAACGAUGUGGGAAGGCACAGACAGCCAGGAUGUUGGCUUAGAAGCAGCCAUCAUUUAAAGAAAGCGUAAUAGCUCACUGGUCGAGUCGGCCUGCGCGGAAGAUGUAACGGGGCUAAACCAUGCACCGAAGCUGCGGCAGCGACACUAUGUGUUGUUGGGUAGGGGAGCGUUCUGUAAGCCUGCGAAGGUGACCUGUGAGGGUUGCUGGAGGUAUCAGAAGUGCGAAUGCUGACAUAAGUAACGAUAAAGCGGGUGAAAAGCCCGCUCGCCGGAAGACCAAGGGUUCCUGUCCAACGUUAAUCGGGGCAGGGUGAGUCGACCCCUAAGGCGAGGCCGAAAGGCGUAGUCGAUGGGAAACAGGUUAAUAUUCCUGUACUUGGUGUUACUGCGAAGGGGGGACGGAGAAGGCUAUGUUAGCCGGGCGACGGUUGUCCCGGUUUAAGCAUGUAGGCUGGUUAUCCAGGCAAAUCCGGAUAAUCAAGGCUGAGGUGUGAUGACGAGGCACUACGGUGCUGAAGUAACAAAUGCCCUGCUUCCAGGAAAAGCCUCUAAGCAUCAGGUAACAUCAAAUCGUACCCCAAACCGACACAGGUGGUCAGGUAGAGAAUACCAAGGCGCUUGAGAGAACUCGGGUGAAGGAACUAGGCAAAAUGGUGCCGUAACUUCGGGAGAAGGCACGCUGGUGUGUAGGUGAAGUCCCUGCGGAUGGAGCUGAGACCAGUCGAAGAUACCAGCUGGCUGCAACUGUUUAUUAAAAACACAGCACUGUGCAAACACGAAAGUGGACGUAUACGGUGUGACGCCUGCCCGGUGCCGGAAGGUUAAUUGAUGGGGUUAUCCGUAAGGAGAAGCUCUUGAUCGAAGCCCCGGUAAACGGCGGCCGUAACUAUAACGGUCCUAAGGUAGCGAAAUUCCUUGUCGGGUAAGUUCCGACCUGCACGAAUGGCGUAAUGAUGGCCAGGCUGUCUCCACCCGAGACUCAGUGAAAUUGAACUCGCUGUGAAGAUGCAGUGUACCCGCGGCAAGACGGAAAGACCCCGUGAACCUUUACUAUAGCUUGACACUGAACAUUGAGCCUUGAUGUGUAGGAUAGGUGGGAGGCUUUGAAGCGUGGACGCCAGUCUGCGUGGAGCCAACCUUGAAAUACCACCCUUUAAUGUUUGAUGUUCUAACGUUGGCCCCUGACCGGGGUUGCGGACAGUGUCUGGUGGGUAGUUUGACUGGGGCGGUCUCCUCCCAAAGCGUAACGGAGGAGCACGAAGGUUAGCUAAUCCUGGUCGGACAUCAGGAGGUUAGUGCAAUGGCAUAAGCUAGCUUGACUGCGAGCGUGACGGCGCGAGCAGGUGCGAAAGCAGGUCAUAGUGAUCCGGUGGUUCUGAAUGGAAGGGCCAUCGCUCAACGGAUAAAAGGUACUCCGGGGAUAACAGGCUGAUACCGCCCAAGAGUUCAUAUCGACGGCGGUGUUUGGCACCUCGAUGUCGGCUCAUCACAUCCUGGGGCUGAAGUAGGUCCCAAGGGUAUGGCUGUUCGCCAUUUAAAGUGGUACGCGAGCUGGGUUUAGAACGUCGUGAGACAGUUCGGUCCCUAUCUGCCGUGGGCGCUGGAGAAUUGAGGGGGGCUGCUCCUAGUACGAGAGGACCGGAGUGGACGCAUCACUGGUGUUCGGGUUGUCAUGCCAAUGGCACUGCCCGGUAGCUAAAUGCGGAAGAGAUAAGUGCUGAAAGCAUCUAAGCACGAAACUUGCCCCGAGAUGAGUUCUCCCUGAGACUUUAAGUCUCCUGAAGGAACGUUGAAGACGACGACGUUGAUAGGCCGGGUGUGUAAGCGCAGCGAUGCGUUGAGCUAACCGGUACUAAUGAACCGUGAGGCUUAACCU
This 2899-nucleotide ribosomal RNA is filed under the name Klebsiella pneumoniae. RNAcentral describes it as "23S ribosomal RNA". It matches the Rfam family "Bacterial large subunit ribosomal RNA". Lineage: Bacteria; Pseudomonadati; Pseudomonadota; Gammaproteobacteria; Enterobacterales; Enterobacteriaceae. The record is from RNAcentral.